Molecule: non-coding RNA, 148 nt
Filed under: Pan troglodytes (chimpanzee)
Lineage: Eukaryota; Metazoa; Chordata; Mammalia; Primates; Hominidae
Source: Rfam by way of RNAcentral
GCCGGGUGUGGCGGUGCACGCCUGUAGUCCCAGCUACUUGGGAGGCUGAGGCAGGAGAAUUGCUUGAACCCGGGAGGCGGAGGCUGCAGUGAGCCAAGAUCACGCCACUGCACUCCAGCCUGGGUGACAGAGCGAGACUCUGUUUCAA